Molecule: ribosomal RNA, 389 nt
Filed under: Eukaryota sp.
Lineage: Eukaryota
Description: partial small subunit ribosomal RNA
Rfam family: Eukaryotic small subunit ribosomal RNA
Source: RNAcentral
AUUCCAGCUCCAAUAGCGUAUAUUAAAGUUGUUGCGGUUAAAAAGCUCGUAGUUGGAUUUCUGCUGAGGACGACUGGUCCGCCCCCUGGGUGAGCAUCUGGUUCGGCCUGGGCAUCUUCUUGGGGAACGUAUCUGCACUUGAUUGUGUGGUGCGGUAUCCAGGACUUUUACUUUGAGGAAAUUAGAGUGUUUCAAGCAGGCCCGCGCCUUGAAUACAUUAGCAUGGAAUAAUAAGAUAGGACCUCGGUUCUAUUUUGUUGGUUUCGAACACCGGAGUAAUGAUUAACAGGGACAGUCAGGGGCACUCGUAUUCCGCCGAGAGAGGUGAAAUUCUCAGACCAGCGGAAGACGAACCACUGCGAAAGCAUUUGCCAGGGAUGUUCUCAUCG